Molecule: small nuclear RNA, 188 nt
Filed under: Gopherus evgoodei (Goodes thornscrub tortoise)
Lineage: Eukaryota; Metazoa; Chordata; Testudines; Testudinidae
Description: U4 spliceosomal RNA (ENSGEVG00005018967.1)
Rfam family: U4 spliceosomal RNA (bases 1-129)
About the family: U4 small nuclear RNA (U4 snRNA) is a component of the major U2-dependent spliceosome. The structure of U4 snRNA from yeast and human has been reported. U4 snRNA presents a k-turn RNA motif in the 5p-SL related to recognition of Snu13 protein.
Source: RNAcentral
ACCUUUGCGUAGUGGUAGAAUCAUAGCCAAUGAAGUUAAUCUGAGGUGUGAUUAUUGCUAGUUGAAAACUUUUCCUAAAGCUUCAAUACUAACUUUUAUUAGUUAUCAUUCACUCCAGCCUUUGAGGGCAUCUUUGAAAGUGAAUGGGAAGAUCUUUGCAUCUCAUACAUCAAACUUGCUGAUAAUGA